Molecule: ribosomal RNA, 253 nt
Filed under: uncultured bacterium
Lineage: Bacteria
Description: partial 16S ribosomal RNA
Rfam family: Bacterial small subunit ribosomal RNA
Source: RNAcentral
UACGGGGGGGGCAAGCGUUGUUCGGAAUUACUGGGCGUAAAGGGCGCGUAGGCGGCCUGUUAAGUCGGAUGUGAAAUCCCUCGGCUCAACCGAGGAACUGCCUCCGAUACUGGCGGGCUGGAAUCCGGGAGAGGGAUGUGGAAUUCCAGGUGUAGCGGUGAAAUGCGUAGAUAUCUGGAGGAACACCGGUGGCGAAGGCGGCAUCCUGGACCGGUAUUGACGCUGAGGCACGAAAGCGUGGGGAGCAAACAGG